This 1338-nucleotide ribosomal RNA is filed under the name metagenome. Its description in RNAcentral is "bacterial LSU rRNA". It matches the Rfam family "Bacterial large subunit ribosomal RNA", at positions 1564 to 2910 of the family's 2925-position model. The record is from RNAcentral.
UGAGUACGAGCGGCUACGGCCGCGAAGUGGAUGAUGUCAAGCUUCCAAGAAAAGCCCUAUACCCGUUAAGGCAUGAUGGCCUGUACCCGAAACCGACACAGGUGGGGUGGUAGAGAAUACCGAGGGGCGCGAGGUAACUCUCUCUAAGGAACUCGGCAAAAUGGCCCCGUAACUUCGGGAGAAGGGGUGCCACCGCGAGGUGGUCGCAGUGAAGAGGCCCAGGCGACUGUUUACCAAAAACACAGGUCUCCGCUAAGUCGCAAGACGAUGUAUGGGGGCUGACGCCUGCCCAGUGCCGGAAGGUUAAGGAAGCUGGUCAGCGCAAGCGAAGCCGGCGACUGAAGCCCCGGUGAACGGCGGCCGUAACAAUAACGGUCCUAAGGUAGCGAAAUUCCUUGUCGGGUAAGUUCCGACCCGCACGAAAGGCGUAACGAUCUGGGCGCUGUCUCGGAGAGAGGCUCGGCGAAAUAGAAUUGUCUGUGAAGAUGCGGACUACGUGCACCCGGACAGAAAGACCCUAUGAAGCUUUACUGUAGCUUGGUAUUGUGCUCGGGCUCGGAAUGCGCAGGAUAGGUGGGAGGCUUUGAUCCAUUGCUUGCGGGUGAUGGUGAGCCACUGGUGAGAUACCACUCUUUCCGAGCUAGAGUUCUAACAGCAACCCGUUAUCCGGGUGCUGGACAGUAUCAGGGGGGCAGUUUGACUGGGGCGGUCGCCUCCUAAAGGGUAACGGAGGCGCGCAAAGGUCUGCUCAGGCUGGUUGGAAAUCAGCCGACGAGUGUAAAAGCAGAAGCAGGCUUGACUGUGAGACCUACAAGUCGAACAGGGAGGAAACUCGGCUUUAGUGAUCCGACGGUUCUGCGUGGAAGGGCCGUCGCUCAACGGAUAAAAGUUACUCUAGGGAUAACAGGCUGAUCUCCCCCAAGAGUUCACAUCGACGGGGAGGUUUGGCACCUCGAUGUCGGCUCAUCGCAACCUGGGGCUGAAGUCGGUCCCAAGGGUUGGGCUGUUCGCCCAUUAAAGCGGUACGCGAGCUGGGUUCAGAACGUCGUGAGACAGUUCGGUCCAUAUCCGGUGCACGCGCAGGAAUAUUGAGAGGAUUUCUCCCUAGUACGAGAGGACCGGGAAGAACGCACCUCUGGUGUGCCAGUUAUCGUGCCAACGGUAAACGCUGGGUAGCCAUGUGCGGAGUGGAUAACCGCUGAAAGCAUCUAAGUGGGAAGCCCACCUCAAGAUGAGUAUUCCCAUGGGGUAACCCAGUAAGGUCACGGGAAGAACACCCGUUGAUAGGCUCUACGUGGAAGCGCAGUAAUGUGUGAAGCGGAGGAGUACUAAUAGACC